This 421-nucleotide ribosomal RNA is filed under the name uncultured soil bacterium. RNAcentral's name for it is "bacterial SSU rRNA". It matches the Rfam family "Bacterial small subunit ribosomal RNA", at positions 35 to 456 of the family's 1533-position model. The record is from RNAcentral.
GCUGGCGGUAUGCUUAACACAUGCAAGUCGAGCGGCAGCGAGGUUAGUAGCAAUACUAACUGUCGGCGAGCGGCGGACGGGUGAGUAACACGUAGGAAUCUACCCAAAAGCGGGGGACAACCCGAGGAAACUCGGGCUAAUACCGCAUAAAUUCUAAGGAAAAAAGCUGGGGCAACCUGGCGCUUUUGGAGGAGCCUGCGUCCGAUUAGCUAGUUGGUAGGGUAAAAGCCUACCAAGGCGACGAUCGGUAGCUGGUCUGAGAGGAUGAUCAGCCACACUGGGACUGAGACACGGCCCAGACUCCUACGGGAGGCAGCAGUGGGGAAUAUUGGACAAUGGGGGCAACCCUGAUCCAGCAAUACCGCGUGUGUGAAGAAGGCCUUCGGGUUGUAAAGCACUUUAGGCGGGGAAGAAGGUUGGU